GCAGAAAUAAGAGACCCGAUGUUAGAAAAAUAGCACAACGAUACCUGAUGAUUCACAUGAAUCCACUAAUAUUAGAUUAUAUUAAAAGAAAAAGGUUUCAUCAAAUAGUUCUUGAAGAGAUGCCCUGGAGAGCUCAGAUGAACCUGUAUCUGGCAAUCACAUGCUACAACCUGCUUUUACAAAAGCUAGGAGAGUGCACGAAGACGAAACCUGGCAUUUCACACACAAUGGUCAGUUUCCGAUCAUGUGAUCCUAAUAUGUUCUCACUAUAUAAUUCAGGAACAGUAUUGCCAACGGCAAAACUGACUCUGGAAAAUUAUAAAACAAUGCUUGAUUUCCUACUUACAGCUAAAAGAAGAAAGGCCAACUUACCAUCAGAUGCUGAAGAAUUUUCUACAUUUGUGAAUUCCAAAGCUAGUGAAGAUAAUAUGUCUAAGACACAACCAGUUUAUGAAUUGGUCUCUCAAUCAGCUCUUAGUGUCAGAGAAAAGGACCGAGCACAUUUGGAACUGGAUUCUUUUAUGAGAAUCUUUUUAUAUUGCAGGAGAGCCAUGGUUCUUGCUCAUCGUGGUGGCUAUUGGACUCUGCUUCAGAACUGCUGUCGGGCCUUUUGGAACUUUACUCAGGAGCUGCAAAUACUUCUUAAACAGGCAGUAGAUCUUUAUAAAACAUUUCCUGUUAGCCAGGAUACUUUCCUCUGUAUCUCAGUUUUACCAUUCUAUUUGGGAGCAGAAUUACUUAUUGACAUGUUAAUACAUCUACAAAAUAUCGAUUCUGUAAAGUUCAUUGAAGACAAAGGAGAGUUCAUUGUUCCAAGCUGUUAUGGGAAUAUUAAACAUGAUAAUGGUGGUUCUAGCCUUUCUUUUGAGCAUCCUUUGGAUGAUGUAAAUGUGGUUGAUUUGAAAUGGAUCCAUGACUUUGUAUUAAAAUCUCUGGAAGUUUUAUAUCAAGUGGAAAAAUGGGAAACACUAGUAUCGCUUGCCAUUCAAUUCAACAUAAUUUCACAUGAGAGGUACACAGAGCAGGUGACACCACUUCUGGUAUAUGCACAGCGCCAAUUGCUUCUGAGAAUACAGAAGUUCAAGGGCCCAGAUAUUACCCAGCAAGCUUGUGCAAGAUAUGAGGCCGAGUAUGGAGAGAAGAUUACCUGCCGAAAUUUCAUUGGAAAGCAGCUCAAGAUUGAUCCUUCAAUCAGUAAGACAAUAGAUAUAGGGGAUGGUACAAAUUUCCUACAAGUGAUUAUCUAUUCAGGUUAGAAUCUCUUUUAGCUUGAAUCUGUGUUUUCUUUAAAUCAGGGUUUGCCAUUCUUCCCCAUGUCAGAUAUUCCGUAAUUAGGAUAUCUGUAAGAAUAUCUUUUGCUAGUUUAUUUGAAAA
RNAcentral lists this long non-coding RNA (1374 nucleotides) under Ictidomys tridecemlineatus (thirteen-lined ground squirrel). RNAcentral's name for it is "lncRNA (ENSSTOG00000033250.1)". Lineage: Eukaryota; Metazoa; Chordata; Mammalia; Rodentia; Sciuridae. The record is from RNAcentral.